RNAcentral lists this ribosomal RNA (249 nucleotides) under uncultured prokaryote. RNAcentral's name for it is "partial 16S ribosomal RNA". It matches the Rfam family "Bacterial small subunit ribosomal RNA", at positions 524 to 772 of the family's 1533-position model. The record is from RNAcentral.
UACGGAGGAUGCAAGCGUUAUCCGGAUUUAUUGGGUUUAAAGGGUGCGUAGGCGGAUAUGUAAGUCAGCGGUGAAACUCACAGGCUCAACCUGUGCCGUGCCGUUGAAACUGUGUAUCUGGAAUGCGGAUGCUGUGGGAGGAAUGUGUAGUGUAGCGGUGAAAUGCAUAGAUAUCACACAGAACACCGAUUGCGAAGGCAUCUCACAAAGCCGUUAUUGACGCUGAGGCACGAAAGUGUGGGGAUCAAA